UUAGCCUUUUUUGAGAAAAACAGAAUUGAUGUUCAGGCAGCCUAAAUAUAUUGUCUGCACAUUUUGUAUUACAAACCCAAACAGAGGAAAAACUAAUAUUCAACACUACGAAAAAAACUAAAAAUCUGACUGGUUUUACUUUAGUUGUGCUUUUUGAACCGUCCUAAUGUAGUACAUUGAGAUUGAUGCAAACACAUCACACGGCAGAAAGAGGAAUAAAAAACUAAUAAAUCCUUGCAGCUAAAUCUUUCAAUUGCUUCUUCUCUAAGGUCCGCAGGAAUUCUAAAAUAUACAUGCGAGAGGAAAUAUUUCAAUUAAGAAGACACAAAUAACAUAAAUUAACCUACAAAAAUAUCCAAAAAAGCAAAAUUUGACAACAUAAAAUACGUAAUGCAAAAGGAUAAAGAGUACUUACAUUUCGUUGUCAAAGAGUGUUAUAUCCUUCUUCAAAAUACAUUGAUUCUACCAAAAUUUUGAUUACUUUUAGUAGAGAAUCGAAAAAUAUCAAGAUGAAAGAAAGAGAAAAAAUCAAUAAAGGGAAAACACAUAUUAACAGAGAAAAAAAAUUCUCACAUGCAAGAAGAAAGAAAGACAGAAAAGCAAAAUCAAAGAAUGGGGAAGAGGAAUUACCAUAGAUCAGAAGUUUGAUGAUAGAAAAAUGCUUUUGGUCGUAUCUGAAAUUAUUUCGCAUCUUCUCCUUUGCGAAUCUUUUUCAUUGCGUUCAUUUUUUUUAAAUCUUAGUGGGUUUUAACUGAAGUGUUAAUUUUUUCAAGUGAAGGAAAUGGACAUGGGAGAGCAGACUUCUCUUUCGUGAAUGUGAGUGAGUAAGGAAAGAGAGAAGGAUAGUUGAAAAUGAGAAAGGAGUUUGGGAAAACUUGGAGUUAAUAAGCGAUUUUUU
Molecule: long non-coding RNA, 898 nt
Filed under: Nicotiana tabacum (common tobacco)
Lineage: Eukaryota; Viridiplantae; Streptophyta; Magnoliopsida; Solanales; Solanaceae
Description: long non-coding RNA (NTAB_LNC001739)
Source: RNAcentral